RNAcentral lists this ribosomal RNA (301 nucleotides) under uncultured bacterium. RNAcentral describes it as "partial 16S ribosomal RNA". It matches the Rfam family "Bacterial small subunit ribosomal RNA", at positions 509 to 807 of the family's 1533-position model. The record is from RNAcentral.
CAGUAGCCGCGGUAAUACGUAGGGCGCAAGCGUUAUCCGGAAUUAUUGGGCGUAAAGAGCUCGUAGGCGGUUUGUCGCGUCUGCCGUGAAAGUCCGGGGCUCAACCCCGGAUCUGCGGUGGGUACGGGCAGACUAGAGUGAUGUAGGGGAGACUGGAAUUCCUGGUGUAGCGGUGAAAUGCGCAGAUAUCAGGAGGAACACCGAUGGCGAAGGCAGGUCUCUGGGCAUUAACUGACGCUGAGGAGCGAAAGCAUGGGGAGCGAACAGGAUUAGAGACCCCAGUAGUCCCUGUCUCUUAUAC